CCUACGGGAGGCAGCAGUGGGGAAUUUUGGACAAUGGGCGCAAGCCUGAUCCAGCAAUGCCGCGUGCAGGAUGAAGGCCUUCGGGUUGUAAACUGCUUUUGUACGGAACGAAACGGCUCUUUCUAAUAAAGAGAGCUAAUGACGGUACCGUAAGAAUAAGCACCGGCUAACUACGUGCCAGCAGCCGCGGUAAUACGUAGGGUGCGAGCGUUAAUCGGAAUUACUGGGCGUAAAGCGUGCGCAGGCGGUUAUAUAAGACAGAUGUGAAAUCCCCGGGCUCAACCUGGGACCUGCAUUUGUGACUGUAUAGCUAGAGUACGGUAGAGGGGGAUGGAAUUCCGCGUGUAGCAGUGAAAUGCGUAGAUAUGCGGAGGAACACCGAUGGCGAAGGCAAUCCCCUGGACCUGUACUGACGCUCAUGCACGAAAGCGUGGGGAGCAAACAGGAUUAGAUACCCUGGUAGUCCACGCCCUAAACGAUGUCAACUGGUUGUUGGGUCUUCACUGACUCAGUAACGAAGCUAACGCGUGAAGUUGACCGCCUGGGGGAGGUACGGCCGCGAGUAGUAACGACGAAAGAAGUAGACGGCGUGAGACGUGACCGACGGACGACGACGAGGGAGGAGG
RNAcentral lists this ribosomal RNA (626 nucleotides) under uncultured bacterium. Its description in RNAcentral is "bacterial SSU rRNA". The stretch from base 1 to 542 matches the Rfam family "Bacterial small subunit ribosomal RNA", at positions 338 to 873 of the family's 1533-position model. The record is from RNAcentral.